This 1777-nucleotide long non-coding RNA is filed under the name Homo sapiens (human). RNAcentral describes it as "HSALNT0294700". The record is from RNAcentral. Lineage: Eukaryota; Metazoa; Chordata; Mammalia; Primates; Hominidae.
GCCCCGCCCCCGCCCAGGCCCCGCCCCCAUGGCUCCGCGUGGGCGGUGCUCGCGCCAGCCGGCCCUUCCCUGCUACUGGCUCCCGGCCAGCUGGGCGGGUCCCGGGCGAAACUUGCCCUUGCUCUGGGCCACCCCAGGAACCGGCCCACGGGUCCCCGGCCUCUGCCCCGCCCCAUUCCGGCUUGGCCCCGCCUCCGUUUCUUAGGGGUAGGUUCUGUUGCUGUGGGAAGGGGGCGGAGAGAAGGAAACCUUAUUUCAGCCGUGCGCUAGAUUAGACACAGCUAGAAUGUCUCCAUUGUGACGGGGGCUGAGGGACAAGGGGGUGCGGUCUCCUCGCUCUCGGUUCGGUGUGGCCAGCCAGCCCAGAGAGCCAUGGAGCUAAUGACCUCAGAGCAAAACAGGCGCUUGGGAGCCGCUGGGUAUGAGGCGCCAGGGGGAGACAGAGGCCAGGCUAAGCCCUUGCCUAAGAAGAGUAAAAGCACACUCACUGGAAGACCAGGACAGAGCCCAAUGCCUGGUUGGCUGCCCGUUCUUCCUAACUUCUCCCCUCUGGGAGAGGGUGGUACUGACCUGAUGCCACAAGAGCUCUGUCUCUAAACCUCCUAUCAGAAAGUUGAUCGCUAGGUAUCCACAGACACCACCCAUCCACACAUCUCAAAUGGGGACAACGCCGUUGUGGCCCUCAAGCAAGUUGGAAGUAGCCAUCAGGGACUACGGCACCCAGUUCACGGCUGGAACUUUUCUGGGCUCUGUCGGCCAGGUGCUUCCUGACCACAUACCACUUUGUUCCCCAGGCUAAACUGUGUCCCCAGAAGGGAUGACUUUCUUGGCAGCUUCCAAAUAAAGAUCCCACAGUGGUCCUUCAGGUUGGUAGACUUACUAUGCCUGCUUUGUUACACCUGAGCUUUAGGCAGAGAGAGACAGAGGAAAAGAAGUCACAGGAGAGAAAAAAAACAGACCCCAAGGCAAAUAGAGCAGCAAAAGAAGACGGGGACAAAGAACAGGCUGCUUCUAUAGGUUUUCCCCUGCUAUUUGAGAAAAACUGGAACCAACUCUCAGAUAAAUAACAGCAGCAGCAAGCCAGCAACUGAAGAAACAAAUAUAACUCCUGGUUGUUUUUAUUAUUCAGUGUUUCUGGGACAGUUUACUUACCACUUCUUCGUGUCACCCAGCUCCCUAUUCCCUGCCCUUUCUAGCACCCACCAUGGUGUGGCUGCAAGCUGUCCGCAAAGCUAAGCCAAGAGACCCCCCCAGCCCCAGCACCAGAUGAUCAGCAGGGAGAAUAACAGCUCCCUGGGGCUCCAGAACAGCCCCCAGCCAUGGCCUAAUCCUAAGGCUCCUCCUCCCUGAACCUCUCACCUCCUAUUCCUGGCACCAUUAUGCCUCCUCCAUCCUCAGACUGCCCCAGAACCUGGUGAGGUCAUCACCUCUACUCAUCCCUGAGGCAGCGGAAAGUGAGAGAGAAAAGGGGAUGGGGUAUGAAGAAGCAGACUUGUGGGAUGUUUUUCUCUGUGAAGAGUGAGACUCUGCUUAGUGGCUGGCCCUGCUGGGGGAGUGUGAAGCUUGAACCAAGGAGGGGGACUGGACAGCCUCAAGACAGGCCCCUUUAUCUCAGGCCACAGUGGUGGCUCAGGGCCCAGAACUGGUCAUCUUCUGCCUUGUCUCUCCCCUUCACAUCACCCUAAACCCAAAGGCCUCUUAAACUAAGAGGAAAGUCCCUUCAAAUUCACAGAACACCACUUCCUCUCAUUUGUCUAAUACAUUCGCAUCCAAAACA